GCGGGAAUAGCUCAGUUGGUAGAGCCACGACCUUGCCAAGGUCGGGGUCGCGAGUUCGAGUCUCGUUUCCCGCUCCA
This 77-nucleotide transfer RNA is filed under the name Klebsiella pneumoniae subsp. pneumoniae. RNAcentral describes it as "tRNA-Gly(gcc)". It matches the Rfam family "tRNA". Rfam says of the family: Transfer RNA (tRNA) molecules are approximately 80 nucleotides in length. The record is from RNAcentral. Lineage: Bacteria; Pseudomonadati; Pseudomonadota; Gammaproteobacteria; Enterobacterales; Enterobacteriaceae.